GGGCAAUUGGCGCAGUGGUAGCGCGUCCGCUUUGCAUGCGGAAGGUCUAGGUUUCGAUCACCUAAUUGUCCA
Molecule: transfer RNA, 72 nt
Rfam family: tRNA
About the family: Transfer RNA (tRNA) molecules are approximately 80 nucleotides in length.
Source: Rfam